AGUCUUGUUCCAUCUGUCUUGA
Molecule: non-coding RNA, 22 nt
Filed under: Arabidopsis thaliana (thale cress)
Lineage: Eukaryota; Viridiplantae; Streptophyta; Magnoliopsida; Brassicales; Brassicaceae
Source: RNAcentral